UUAGAGUUUGAUCAUGGCUCAGGAUGAACGCUAGCUACAGGCUUAACACAUGCAAGUCGAGGGGCAGCACAGAGAUAGCUUGCUAUCUUGGGUGGCGACCGGCGCACGGGUGAGUAACGCGUAUCCAACCUGCCCAUUACUCGGGGAUAGCCUUGCGAAAGUAAGAUUAAUACCCGAUGUUGUUAAAAACCCGCAUGAGUUUUUAACCAAAGAUUUAUUGGUAAUGGAUGGGGAUGCGUGACAUUAGGUAGUUGGUGAGGUAACGGCUCACCAAGCCCACGAUGUCUAGGGGUUCUGAGAGGAAGGUCCCCCACACUGGAACUGAGACACGGUCCAGACUCCUACGGGAGGCAGCAGUGAGGAAUAUUGGUCAAUGGACGAGAGUCUGAACCAGCCAAGUAGCGUGCAGGACGACGGCCCUCUGGGUUGUAAACUGCUUUUAGUUGGGAAUAAAAAGAGGGACGUGUCCCUAAUUGUAUGUACCAUCAGAAAAAGGACCGGCUAAUUCCGUGCCAGCAGCCGCGGUAAUACGGAAGGUCCAGGCGUUAUCCGGAUUUAUUGGGUUUAAAGGGUGCGUAGGCGGGUUGCUAAGUCAGUGGUAAAAGCGUGUGGCUCAACCAUACCAAGCCAUUGAAACUGGUGACCUUGAGUGUAAACGAGGUAGGCGGAAUGUGACGUGUAGCGGUGAAAUGCUUAGAUAUGUCACAGAACCCCGAUUGCGAAGGCAGCUUACCAGCAUACAACUGACGCUGAGGCACGAAAGCGUGGGUAUCAAACAGGAUUAGAUACCCUGGUAGUCCACGCAGUAAACGAUGAAUACUAGCUGUUGGCGAUAAACAGUCAGCGGUAAAGCGAAAGUGUUAAGUAUUCCACCUGGGGAGUACGCCGGCAACGGUGAAACUCAAAGGAAUUGACGGGGGCCCGCACAAGCGGAGGAACAUGUGGUUUAAUUCGAUGAUACGCGAGGAACCUUACCCGGGCUUGAAAGUUAGUGACGGACUUGGAAACAGGUCUUUCCUUCGGGACACGAAACUAGGUGCUGCAUGGUUGUCGUCAGCUCGUGCCGUGAGGUGUCGGCUUAAGUGCCUUAACGAGCGCAACCCUUGUUGUUAGUUGCCAUCAGGUAAUGCUGGGAACUCUAGCAAGACUGCUACUGUAAGGAGGAGGAAGGUGAGGAUGACGUCAAAUCAGCACGGCCCUUACGUCCGGGGCGACACACGUGUUACAAUGGUAGGUACAGAGGGCAGCCACCCAGCGAUGGGGAGCAAAUCUCGAAAGCCUAUCUCAGUUCGGAUUGGAGGCUGAAACUCGCCUCCAUGAAGUUGGAUUCGCUAGUAAUCGCGCAUCAGCCAUGGCGCGGUGAAUACGUUCCCGGGCCUUGUACACACCGCCCGUCAAGCCAUGGGAGCCGGGGGUGCCUGAAGUUCGUAGCCGUUAAGGAGCGACCUAGGGCAAAACUGGUAACUGGGGCUAAGUCGUAACAAGGUAACC
This 1491-nucleotide ribosomal RNA is filed under the name uncultured bacterium. RNAcentral describes it as "16S ribosomal RNA". It matches the Rfam family "Bacterial small subunit ribosomal RNA". The record is from RNAcentral.